GAGACUGCCGUCCUGUUUAUCCACAGAACAGGUACAGGAUUGGCAGGGGCAUGCUUCCCCACACUGUCCUGCCAAUGUGCCUUAGCCCUGACCUGGAGGUACCAGGACAACAAGCUGGACCAUGUUUAUUUGUGGCAUCU
This 140-nucleotide small RNA is filed under the name Gopherus agassizii (Agassiz's desert tortoise). Its description in RNAcentral is "TUC338 (ENSGAGG00000009859.1)". Lineage: Eukaryota; Metazoa; Chordata; Testudines; Testudinidae. The record is from RNAcentral.